UGUGUUUAGGACCUUUGCCAACAGGUCGUUAGUUACCGGAGAUUUUUGUUUUACAGUCUAAUAGAAUAAGAAUGCUUUUAUUUAAAUUUUAUUUUUUUUAUCCUUUUGUGAAUGGCUAAAUUACAUAAAACCCCCUUGUCAAUACCCACUUUUUCACUUUUCUCCCGUCAUUUAAAAACCUAUACUUUGCCCCCUUGUAAAAUAAAAAAUGUUCAAAGGGCGGUAUGGUGUUAACUGUGACGAUAAAAUGAUCAUUUUGCCCUCACCAUCUUUGUCUCCUCAUUUUUCGUGCCUCAAUUCUCCAUAAUUCGUCUCGUCUCUAUUUUCUUCUUCACCUUCUCUCCUUCUCCUCCUACACCCUCAUCACCCCUUGAUUUCGCUGACAGUAGGGCGGAAAAUCGAGGUGGGCGUGGAUGGAGAGGUGGGAAAGGGCGAAGGCGAAGGCGAUGCGGCGGAGGAGGAAGACGAGGGGGUGUUUGUAGGCACAAACGGAGAUGUGGGCAAGGGUGAGGCAGCAGAGGAGGGUGAGGCGGCAAGGCGGAAGAGGGUGAGGCGGCGAGGCGGCAAGGCGAAGGAGGGCGAGACAACAGGAGAGAAGGCUGAGGGUAUUUUUGGUGUAAAAAAAUAUAAUGAUAUUUUUAAACGGAAUUCUAAUAGAGCACUAACGGUAGGGGGUGAAGUGAAUAUUUUUUAUUUUACAAGGGGGCAAAGUAUAGAUUUUUAAAUGAUAGAGGGGAAUGUGAAAAAUGGGUAUAGACAGGGUGAUUUUCUGUAAUUUAGCCUUUGUGAAAUAUAUGUAAAAAGCUCAAAAUUUUUAAAUGAGACUUCCGAAUUUAGAUAAACUCAAUCAUCUUAUUACUUUUAGUAAUUUAUAAAUAAUUAUAGAUAUGCGGUGUCUGUUACAUCUCGGGUUCGGGGCGUGACACCCUAUAUUUCCUUAAACCCACGGCUCCCAUUUUUCUUUUUCCUUUCUCUCUAAAACGAGAAUUUGCCUUCUUUCUCUCUGUUAGUUUCUCUAUUCUGUCGCUCACUCGUCACUCCUCUCUUGCUUCCUUUUUGUCACUCACUCUAUCUCUCUCUCUCUCUCUCUUUUAGGAUACUCCUCCCUCUUUCGUAGGAGCUCGCUUUAAAUCUCGCUCGAAAUUUAGGCCGAUUUUCUACAUUCCGGCCACAAUCCUAUAUAUAUAUAUAGUCCAACUAUUAUACUAUCGAUAGUAUCAAGCUCUUGAUACUAUCGAGUUUUCUUCCGUUAAAUCUACUCUUUGAUCAUUUCCACCUACUCAACCCUAGGAGACCACUAUCAUUUUAAUCGAAAAUCACUAUCAUUCUAACCGCACAUUCUUUCAUCCAAUGGCCAAAAACUUAAUAGCACUAAGCGCUUUGUACUAUCAAUAUUACAGUAGCAUAAUUAUAUAUAUAUAUAUAUAUAUAUAUAUAUAUAUAUAUAGAGAAAGAGAGAGAGAGAGAGAGAGAGAGAGAGAGAGAGAGAGA
This 1491-nucleotide long non-coding RNA is filed under the name Ananas comosus (pineapple). RNAcentral describes it as "long non-coding RNA (ACOM_LNC030247)". Lineage: Eukaryota; Viridiplantae; Streptophyta; Magnoliopsida; Poales; Bromeliaceae. The record is from RNAcentral.